GAUGAACGCUGGCGGCGUGCCUAAUACAUGCAAGUCGAGCGAACAGACGAGGAGCUUGCUCCUUUGACGUUAGCGGCGGACGGGUGAGUAACACGUGGGUAACCUACCUAUAAGACUGGGAUAACUUCGGGAAACCGGAGCUAAUACCGGAUAAUAUUUCGAACCGCCUGGUUCGAUAGUGAAAGAUGGCUCUGCUAUCACUUAUAGAUGGACCUGCGCCGUAUUAGCUAGUUGGUAAGGUAACGGCUUACCAAGGCAACGAUACGUAGCCGACCUGAGAGGGUGAUCGGCCACACUGGAACUGAGACACGGUCCAGACUCCUACGGGAGGCAGCAGUAGGGAAUCUUCCGCAAUGGGCGAAAGCCUUACGGAGCGACGCCGCGUGAGUGAUGAAGGUCUUCGGAUCGUAAAACUCGGUUAUUAGGGAAGAACAAACGUGUAAGUAACUGUGCACGUCUUGACGGUACCUAAUCAGAAAGCCACGGCUAACUACGUG
Molecule: ribosomal RNA, 497 nt
Filed under: uncultured bacterium
Lineage: Bacteria
Description: partial 16S ribosomal RNA
Rfam family: Bacterial small subunit ribosomal RNA
Source: RNAcentral